Molecule: unclassified non-coding RNA, 672 nt
Filed under: Hevea brasiliensis (rubber tree)
Lineage: Eukaryota; Viridiplantae; Streptophyta; Magnoliopsida; Malpighiales; Euphorbiaceae
Source: RNAcentral
AAAUUUUCUCCUUUCUCCAUCUUCUUUCUUCUGAAAAAAACUAACAAAACAAGUGAAUAUAUUUAAUUUUUUCAGUAUGAUGGAAGGAGAGAAGAGAAAACAGAGGCAACACCAGCAAGAUAAGCCAUACAGAGGAAUACGGAUGAGGAAGUGGGGUAAAUGGGUAGCUGAAAUUCGAGAACCAAACAAACGCUCUCGAAUUUGGCUUGGUUCUUAUUCUUCCCCUGUUGCUGCUGCUCGUGCUUACGAUACCGCUGUAUUUUACUUGCGAGGUCCUUCAGCUAGGCUUAAUUUCCCUGAAUGUAUAGUGGAUGACCAUGAAAUUCACGAUCUAUCAGCUGCUUCUAUUAGAAAGAAAGCUACUGAGGUAGGUGCUCGAGUUGAUGCUCUGCAAACUGCGAUUCACAAUUCUACUGUUAAUUCUGUUGAAUCAAACUGUAAUUCGAAUUCUAAAUCUACAAGGAUGAUGAUGAAGCCUGAUUUGAAUGAAUAUCCUAGCCCGGAAAGUUGCGACGAAGAUAACUGAAUCUCUGCGAGUUAACAGAGGCCAAGAGGGGGAUUAUUUUUAUGUUGAUUAGAUAUACUGAGGAUCCAUGUAUGAAAUAUAAUCCGAAGGGAUUAUAUGUUAAUAUUAUCAAUUAUGAUAGUUAUUAAAGGAAAUUUAAUCUCAAA